Molecule: non-coding RNA, 74 nt
Organism: Trichonephila inaurata madagascariensis
Lineage: Eukaryota; Metazoa; Arthropoda; Arachnida; Araneae; Nephilidae
Source: the annotation of a GenBank genome assembly
AUCCCUGUAGCGCAGUAGAUAGCGCGUUGCACUUCUAGUACAAAUGUCGUGCGUUUUGAAUCCCACCAGGGAUA